AACGAACGCUGGCGGCAGGCCUAACACAUGCAAGUCGAGCGGACCUUUCGGGGUCAGCGGCGGACGGGAGAGUAACGCGUGGGAAUAUGCCCUUCUCUACGGAAUAGUCCUGGGAAACUGGGGGUAGUACCGUAUACGCCCUUUGGGGGAAAGAUUUAUCGGGGAAGGAUUAGCCCGCGUUGGAUUAGGUAGUUGGUGGGGUAAUGGCCUACCAAGCCGACGAUCCAUAGCUGGUUUGAGAGGAUGAUCAGCCACACUGGGACUGAGACACGGCCCAGACUCCUACGGGAGGCAGCAGUGGGGAAUCUUAGACAAUGGGGGCAACCCUGAUCUAGCCAUGCCGCGUGAGUGAUGAAGGCCUUAGGGUUGUAAAGCUCUUUCAGCUGGGAAGAUAAUGACGGUACCAGCAGAAGAAGCCCAGGCUAACUCCGUG
This 433-nucleotide ribosomal RNA is filed under the name uncultured bacterium. RNAcentral's name for it is "partial 16S ribosomal RNA". It matches the Rfam family "Bacterial small subunit ribosomal RNA", at positions 29 to 507 of the family's 1533-position model. The record is from RNAcentral.